AUGUAACAAAUAACAGUGUGAGUUCUCAUAGUUGAUUUUAUAAGAACGU
Molecule: non-coding RNA, 49 nt
Filed under: Trypanosoma lewisi
Lineage: Eukaryota; Euglenozoa; Kinetoplastea; Trypanosomatida; Trypanosomatidae
Source: RNAcentral